CUCCUCUGGACUUGCUUCAUGGUGGACAAGCAACCCGCAGAAGCCAAGUGGCGAAGAGGACAGAUCUUUGCAGGUGGCAGCCCAGGCCAUUGGACAGCAUUGUUCUGCUGCACUGAAAACUUUAAAGGGUCCUUCAGGCAAAAGUCAGAUCUCAUCCCUUUCAUUUCACAGAUCCUCCCUGGCUCCUUCCGGGCCUACAGCCUGGGCUACAAAGCCAAUGUACCAGUGUCUAUGUGUUUGCUGGAGGAACUGUUACUGAGCAACGGUAUCCUGAGUGACACAACACAUCGCCAUGCCUUGCAGAGUGUCGGGCGCACCGCUUGCUGCAGCCAGGCCCUUCCUCCCACUGAGCUGUGUUGGCAUCAAACUCAGAUCAGCCUUGAACGCUCAAAGAAAAACCUGCCUGCUCUGAAUAUUGCCUGAGGAAUUAGAAAGGUCUUUCUUGGAAACAGAAGAAUGAGAUGAAACGAUCAUCUGUAGAGCAUGGUCUUUGUCCCAGAAAAUACAGAGAGAAAGAAGAUCCUGGAGUUGAACUGGAGCUGAGCUGACCAUGGACUUCGUCCGAAGAGUAGAAUGUGCUUGGAAACCUUCCUAUCUCUGUGAUGGGCCUUAUUAGCCCUUGGAGGAGCUGGCAUGAGUUGGAUGGCUGUAACGUGUCCUGUUAUGCUGUACCAGAAAUCUCAGCUCAUGGAGAAGGACAUCUCAAAGCUGAGCUGGGAAUGAAUCCGCUGGAUGUCCAGCUGGCCCCUGUGACUUCCAAAGCAUUAACACUGCAGAGACUGGAACGAUAUUUGAACUACUUUAGGAUUCAGAUGACUGCAAAACCGAAACCUCUGUGGGCUCACAGCUGCUCCACCACAUUUGCAGCACAGUCUGUGCAGCAGCCCAUCGCCGAUGGAAACACAAACAAGGGCUGUCAGAACAUUUCUGUUCAAAGGAGUUACGACCCAUUCUGCAGGAGCCAGGGCCUGAACAGCAUCUCCACCUGGAUUUUCCAAGGUUUCUUGUCUUGAAAGUGGAAUCAGGAAGAAGAUCUUUGGGAGGCAGGACCCUGACAGAGAUUUCAUCAUUUCAUUUAUGGCUUCAGUGAGCUGUGUGGUAGGUACAGUUUGUCUGGUGUCCCACAGUGGCAGGUACACUGCCUUAGUCAUUCUGUACUAUGGUUGUAAGGUUGUUCUGAUGUACUUAA
Pezoporus flaviventris is the source of this 1189-nucleotide long non-coding RNA. RefSeq lists it as uncharacterized. The transcript has 6 exons. Lineage: Eukaryota; Metazoa; Chordata; Aves; Psittaciformes; Psittacidae. The record is from RefSeq and is a predicted model, not a curated record.